GCCGGAGUGGCGGAACAGGCAGACGCGCGCGACUCAAAAUCGUGUGGGCUUGGCUCGUGUGGGUUCGACUCCCACCUCCGGCA
This 83-nucleotide transfer RNA is filed under the name Anaerolineae bacterium. Its description in RNAcentral is "tRNA-Leu". It matches the Rfam family "tRNA". From Rfam's summary of the family: Transfer RNA (tRNA) molecules are approximately 80 nucleotides in length. Their secondary structure includes four short double-helical elements and three loops (D, anti-codon, and T loops). Further hydrogen bonds mediate the characteristic L-shaped molecular structure. tRNAs have two regions of fundamental functional importance: the anti-codon, which is responsible for specific mRNA codon recognition, and the 3' end, to which the tRNAs corresponding amino acid is attached (by aminoacyl-tRNA synthetases). tRNAs cope with the degeneracy of the genetic code in two manners: having more than one tRNA (with a specific anti-codon) for a particular amino acid; and 'wobble' base-pairing, i.e. permitting non-standard base-pairing at the 3rd anti-codon position. The record is from RNAcentral. Lineage: Bacteria; Bacillati; Chloroflexota; Anaerolineae.